RNAcentral lists this ribosomal RNA (319 nucleotides) under uncultured eukaryote. RNAcentral's name for it is "partial 18S ribosomal RNA". It matches the Rfam family "Eukaryotic small subunit ribosomal RNA", at positions 1470 to 1796 of the family's 1831-position model. The record is from RNAcentral.
CCCUUAGAUGUUCUGGGCAGCACGCGCGCUACAAUGGUCUUCGCAAACGGAUGCAUUCUCGAAGGAGAAUGCCAAUCUUGGAAUCUAUGCCUUGGUCGGGACAGUUGCUUGCAAUUUUUCGACUCGAACCAGGAAUUCCUUGUAAUCGUGAUUCAUCACAUCACGAUGAAUACGUCCCUGCCCUUUGUACACACCGCCCGUCGCUCCUACCGAUCGAAGAGUUAGGUGAAUUGUUUUGAUCGAUAAGAUUUGACUAUGGUCAACUCUCGUUGUGAAUUUCUGUGAAUCUGACUGUUUAGAGGAAGGAAAAGUCGUAACA